Molecule: non-coding RNA, 5570 nt
Organism: Doryrhamphus excisus (bluestripe pipefish)
Lineage: Eukaryota; Metazoa; Chordata; Actinopteri; Syngnathiformes; Syngnathidae
Source: RefSeq, a predicted model, not a curated record
GUGAGUUUUGAAAAUGUAUUUUUUAAAAUAUAUAUAUUCAACUAAUGUUCUUUUGGUGGAUUAGGCAAUUUUCAUUUACACAAACACACAAUAUUAGGUAAGUCUUCUAAAAACAGCAUGGAGCAGAGCUUGCACAGAUAAAAUACAUUACAUCCAUUCAUUAAUAGUCAAUAUUCAUGUGAAGUAUUUUCUGCGUUGACUAGGGACCGGGGCCACUAGCCUCUAGCAGGCUUGCACGCAUGGUUUCCUUCUGAUGGAACUUGACUUUGUGCUUCACCUUUUCUUUUGCAGUUUUCAGGGCGGAGGAGACUUGCGCCCACCUCAUAUUUAUAAUUCAUUACAACUGACUGCUGGGCUGUCAGACUAUUCAAAUGAGACAUCACACAAGCCCAUUUCCCCAUCAUGCUACAGACUACCGUUGGCCUGGCCAAUAACAAUGACCCGACACUGCAGGACCAGCAAUGCAUUGCUAAUACCUAAAGAGAAAUGUACCUCUUUACCUCUUUUCUUGGCACUGAGCUCGGUCCAGGCUGAUGGAAGUAAACCAGAUGCAUUAUUCAGUCCAUAUGUCUUGCUAAAGCAAGCUCUUUUUGAUCUUAAACUGAUAGGCCAAGCAUGGGCUUGGGGGCCUUGAGGCGCGGACCGCGGGGGCUCUUCACUGCAGCAUACCAGCGGUUGAUUCAGGCAGGGUGAAUAAGAGAGCUUUUCUUCGCUCUACCUACUUCUUCUUCUAUUCAUUUGUUCAUCCCCAGUGCUCAGUCCAUCCUUCUACCUUUAUCCAUGCUUUGCUGCUCCCAUUUUCUACCUCUCUCGGACUGUUAACUUUAGAAAACUGGGGCGUAAGCAAUCUUGCGUGUAGUAAACUAUGUAUGAGGACUUUAAUAGGUGCUAGGAGAGAGAGAGAAAGGACGCAAAGGUUUUACCUUCGGCAAGUGCAAAAGCGGUAACGUUUCAGUGUAGUUUAGUUAGUUGGCAGGAUUACAUAAAACUACCAUUGUACCAUUUGGCAACCAGUGAGUGUUUUCCAUUGUAAUAUUGUGAGAAACUGCACAAAAUCAAGCCGCAUUGAGCAUCGUCCAAGAAAAGGGCAAAAUGGAGACAAUGGAGUAUAAUACUCUCAUUUCUAACUCUCUCCCCUCAAACGUUACAAUGCUAUGUCUGCUAUAGUAGUGGUUUAUGUUACCCAUAUAGUUCCAGCUCAGCAGCUGACCAAGUACUAAAAAUACUACCAGUACAUAGUUUUGCCAUUAAAAUUGCAGGAAUAGCAGGUCAAGCCAUGGUGAGCCGUGCGUAAGGUACCUUGCAGAGGCAACGUGACAACGUAUUAAACCUACAGCAAAAGGGACACCGUGGACUAUAAUUCUGCAGGCAGUUGAUACGCUAACGUGGUGUUGGUAUUUCUUGCCAAAGCUACAACAAUGUUGCAGCAAUGACUCAGAGGGACGUGUUCAGCAUUGUUGGGCCUUUGCGUGUCUUUUUUGUUUUUCUUUGUGCUUAUGUCCAGUGUGAUUUCAACUCUAUCUCUGUGCUGACUUCUUUAUUUUCCUCCAGUGAGCCCGUGCUCCACAUGCCCCUUUCCUUUUGUUGCUGCCUCUUGCCACACCCCAGCCCCCACCACCACCACCUUUGAAGCCUUGCCAGCGAAGACUGCGAUUCAGAACAGAAGCGUAGUUCAGUUUGGUGGAGGCUUUGGCCCAGCAUACCACUUUCUUUCCUUCUUUCCUUCUUUCCUUCUUUCCUUCUUUCCUUCUUUCCUUCUUUCCUUCUUUCCUUCUUUCCUUCUUUCCUUCUUUCCUUCUUUCCUUCUUUCCUUCUUUCUUCCCUCCUCACUGCUCGUCUUGAUCUCCUCCUCCAGUGCCCAACAUCAAAAGUGUGAAGUGCAUGCCGAGAGAGAGAGGGAGAGGGAGAGGAACUGUAGAUACCCACUGCUGCCCCGUCAUCAUCAGCUACCCAUGGAGACCCCGUUGAUUGUUGUCCAUGGCCACUGGCUGUCCAUCCACUGGUCUUUCCUUGUUGUUGGCUCAGCUGAAUAUGGAAUCAAUAUUCAUUCCACUCUUGUGUGCACUGGUCCCGCAGGCCAAGCCGGCUCUGCCUCACAUUGCAUGGGGGCGGCGUGUCAUGCUAGCCAGAUGAAAACCAAAGCGCGGUGACGGUGGCGGCGGACAAUGCUCAUUCGUCUUCGAGCCUGCAGCUUCCGGCGCCCGCUGUCGCCUCCUCUUUUUUUUUUUUUUUUAUUUAGGAAGAAAAGAAGGCGAGCUGACAUUAUCGGCCGCUGCAGGCGCAUUUGAAAAUAAUUGCCUGUAUGAUUGCUAUUUUUCUUACCUCUUUGAGGAGGUGUAGCCUUUGUCUCCAAAUCAAUGGCUGCUCAAUACCGGACAGAGGAAAGGCAGCUUCCUUUCAUGUCUUGACUGAAAAGCGAAUAUUUUUAGUCCUAUUCAUUUUUAGCAGCGUCUGCCAUGCAGUUUUAAUCUACCGUUUCUUUCCUGCUGAAUGGAAGGGAUUCAGAGGUUCCUCGGAGGUGCGCCACGCUGUGUCAGAGAAAAGGCGUGCUAGCUUCAUGUCAUCCCGUCACUAUCCCUCUGCCUUUUGUCUAUAAUUUAUUUGAUCAGCCCAAACUGAAAAGGCCUCCGCUCUGCUAUUUCAGGAUGGCUGGACUCUAGGGACGGCGAGCAAGGUGCUGCAUUCAUUUGUAUCUGCUUUGUGUUUAAAAGGAAUCAGCCAUUGUGUGUUUUUGCUCCCCACUUUAUGCCCUAACACACUUAGCACAACAACAGAUGGCCGAGUGUCAUCAGAGCGUUGAUUCAAGCCGCUUAUUUCCAUGGAAAGAGUCGCCGCGGAGGAAGAGACGCUGGUCCAAAUGGCUGUUUAUUCUGCCACAAGUCAUCCCUUGGGUGCUGUGAAGGAAGGUCUACCCUACAGUAGGACAUCAAUGCGCUGUUUACCGCGCCUUGGCCAUGUCCAGGCCCGCUACAGUAAAUCACGCUAAUUGAUCAGCAGCUUUGCAGUGCACAGGGUUUAAAUGAAGGUUGUUUAAUCGUUAUAGAGACACAAAGUGUUUGGCUCUUCGCACCGGGUGCCGGUUGCCAAGUGCUGUGUGUGUGUGUGUUGGGGGGGGGCAUCAUGGAGUGGCUUAACUACUAAAUUAAAAAGACAUUUGGAAAGAUGGAUGCUCACGCUGAGAUAAAGGCAUCCAAUUCCAAUGGGAGAACUUCUCAAGUAGGGCGAAGCCACCAAUGUCACCAUGGUUCCAAAUGUUCAAGCCUUCGCUUUGUACUCGACUACGCACUCAGCAGCCACUUUAUUAUCCACACCAGAUCUAAGAGAGCCAUUGUGAGAGCCGUAUCAAAAAUACCGGCUCUGUUUUAGAUUGACACUGCCAGAGUGGUAUUCAUGUAGCGGCAUGUGUAUUUCUGUGUUUGGACUGUCGACUGGUUGGCGACCCCUGCCCUGCACUCUUAAAAAUGCUGGGUUAUUUUUUUGACCCAAUCGCUGGGUUGAGCCUGUUGGGUCAUUUAAUUGGGUUCUUUUUAUUGAGUUGGGUAUUCUGAGAACCCAAUUCGCUGGGUUAUCUCUGUUGGGUGCUGAGUUAUUUGCUGCUGGGUUGUGAUUUCCAUUAUAUUGUGCUGGGUUAUUUUGGACAAUCCAAAGCGUUGGGUAGAAUUUUGGACACGCGCAACAAAGCCCCGCCCACAAACUUACUUCGUUCGGACCCCACAUUUCAUCUGAGGAGACGAAUUUCAGCACAGAGCAAGGUUUGUUACAUGCCCACUAUUGUUUUACCGUAGAAUUGACUUUAUAUUAUUAUAUAAAGCUUCAUAAACUUGUUAAAAUGUAAGUUCGUGAAGCACUGUUGAGUACUAGCUUCAGGAAUGGAUCGGUAACCUUAGCAAACUUCCAUUCCCUCCAAAAGUGGCAAGCGAACACAUUCGCUGGCGAGCUAUGUAGGAACCAAACUAUGUUGUUGAAGUUACAAGAGACAUGCACUAUGUGUGAUAGUUAUGAGGACAACGUCAGUUAUCUCAUUUGCCAUUUUAUGUGAUAUCAAGUUAAUGAAUCUCGUGAAUUAAUACGAGCGUGCUGAUGAACCGGUGUUUUUUUAAGCUAGACUGCUGCAUGCUAGCGGGCUUCCGUUAGCCACCGAUAGUCCACUGAAUACUUAGCAGUUUGAACUAGUUUGGGCGCGAAUUCGACGACAGUUUUGUAAGUCGCAUAUAAAUGUGGAGAAUACGUUUGGACUACUGAAUCUUAUUUCAUUUCAUGGUAUGUUUGUUCUUAUGGACCCUCUUUGUGAUGUUUCAGUUCGCUGAAAAGCAUCUAUGGAAGAGUUUGUCAGUUCCAAAUUGACUGAGUGGCAGCUACCGGGGCUGAUUGAAAGAUGCCAAGGGAGAAGUUGCCCUGACGCUGCUGCCCAUCCUGCUCCCUCCGCCUGUGUUUAAAAAGUGCAGGAAAUUGGUCCGGGCGAGUAUUCAGGAGGUGAAGAGAGCCUUCUUCGAUGUUAAGCCCGUCGGAGCUAACAUGGUGGAAUACUUGCAGCAGGCAGAAUCGCCUACCCAUUUGUGCUGCUGCUCCAGAGCCUCUUGUUCUAUGUAUAUAGUAUCACUCUCUCAUAGCUGUCCCCCUUUUUUUGUACAUAAUUUGUUCAUAUGUGAAGGAAAUGUUGUGAGUUGUUCUAUUUGUAUGUUCUGGAAAUGUUGAAUUUUAAUAAAUAUUUUAUUGUUACAUUGGUGUCAUUAUCAUUGUAAUAUAUUAUUAAUAGUAUUAACAUACAAUAAAAAAAAAUAUAUAUAUGGUAUAUUGGCAACCCAACUUGCUGGGUUGAAAUAACCCAGCCGUGUAGUAAAUAUGAGCAUGUUACAUUUGCCAUAUUUACAAUGAACCCAUCCUUAUCUCUGUUACAACAUUGGUUCUGUUGCUGCUGUGUUGUGCAAUAUACUUGUUGUCAAAGGGAGCUACGGUCCCUUUCCACUUUCUCAGGCACUCUAAAUCAUUAUUAAAGUUUUUAAAAAAAAGUUAAUCAUGCAAUAAUAUCAUCUAAAACAAGAAUAAUAUAAUAUUACAAAAUAAUAUCAUAAUAUUGGAUAAUAGUCCAAUUAUUGCCCCAUUCAGGUAAAUAAACACGCUGGCUAUACCAGAGCCAUUUUUAUGGGACUCAUUGUCAUCACCGAUAUUCUUGUGUGGUGACGUCCCAAAUAGGCCAAAGAAAAAGCAUAAUGUGCUCAUGGAGUUAAUUUGCUGACAUCUCAGAUGUUUAGCGACACCUUGGGGGGGCUUCCUGUCACAAACGUCCGACUGGCGCGCGAGCAGACAGGCCUCGCCGCUUAUUCUGAAUAUUUUAAUGAAGCAGACAGGGAGAGGCAGCGAUAAGGCAGGCCGGCUGAGGGUGGAGGAAAGGGACGGUGGGGUGUAAAAGAGAAAAAAAAAAGGUGAGUGACAAAGAACAAGCGGGAUGCUGACAUACGGGGUGAAAUUAUAGAGUGGAUGGGGGAGAAGAAUGGCGAGAGUGGAAGUGAAAGGAGGAAAGCUUUUUUUUUGACAGAAAGAGGGUGAAAUGAGUGGGUGGAACGGGAAGA